Molecule: ribosomal RNA, 293 nt
Filed under: uncultured eukaryote
Lineage: Eukaryota
Description: partial 18S ribosomal RNA
Rfam family: Eukaryotic small subunit ribosomal RNA
Source: RNAcentral
GGUUGAUCCUGCCAGUAGUCAUAUGCUUGUGUCAAAGAUUAAGCCAUGCAAGUCCUAGUAUAGGUAGCAAAACCGAAACUGCGGAUGGCUCAUUAAAUCAGUCAUAAUUAAUUUGGUGAUUUGAAAUAUAAGGAUAACCCUGUUAAUUGUAGAGCUAAUACUUGAUGAAAGGGUCCACUUUUACUUUAAUGUAAGGGAGGACAGCAUUUGUCAGCUCGAAGAAGUUAAGAUAUAUUUUUAUAGUAAUAUAAGAGUAUAUCGAACUCUUACAUGAACUUUUUGUGGAGGAAGCA